UUGUUGCAGUUAAAAAGCUCGUAGUUGGAUUUCUGGUCGGAGCGAUCGGUCCGCCUCAUUCGGGGUGUGUACUUGUGUCGUCUCCAGCCAUCCUUGAGGAGAACUGUUCUGGCAUUGAGUUGUUGGGGCAGGGAACCUCAUCUUUUACUGUGAAAAAAUUAGAGUGUUUAAAGCAGGCUUACGCCGUUGAAUACAUUAGCAUGGAAUAAUAAGAUAGGACUUUGGCGGUCUAUUUUGUUGGUUUGCACGCCGAGGUAAUGAUUAAUAGGGAUAGUUGGGGGUAUUCGUAUUUAAUUGUCAGAGGUGAAAUUCUUGGAUUUCUGAAAGACGAACUACUGCGAAAGCAUUUACCAAGGAUGUUGUCAUUAAUCAAGAACGAAAGUUAGGGGAUCGAAGAUGAUUAGAUACCAUCGUAGUCUUAACCAUAAACUAUGCCGACUCGGGAUUGGCGGGCGUUCUCUUUAUGACUCCGUCAGCACCGUAUGAGAAAUCAAAGUCUUUGGGUUCCGGGGGGAGUAUGGUCGCAAGGCUGAAACUUAAAGGAAUUGACGGAAGGGCACCACCAGGAGUGGAGCCUGCGGCUUAAUUUGACUCAACACGGGGAAACUUACCAGGUCCAGACAUAGUGA
This 629-nucleotide ribosomal RNA is filed under the name uncultured eukaryote. Its description in RNAcentral is "SSU rRNA". It matches the Rfam family "Eukaryotic small subunit ribosomal RNA", at positions 610 to 1236 of the family's 1831-position model. The record is from RNAcentral.